RNAcentral lists this long non-coding RNA (391 nucleotides) under Homo sapiens (human). Its description in RNAcentral is "HSALNT0365336". The record is from RNAcentral. Lineage: Eukaryota; Metazoa; Chordata; Mammalia; Primates; Hominidae.
CAAUUCUCCUGCCUCAACCUCCUGCGUAGCUGGGAUUACAGGCCUGCCCAUGGCUGCUCAUGGAACAAUCGGCUAGCGUUUCCUCCCCUCUGAGAUCCAUAAAAGCCGGCAGCUCAGCCAGAGCAGGGCAGAGGGCAGAGGACAGAGAGAUGAUGGGAUGACCCGCUGCAGAGAGGAGCUACCCUCCUGCUGAGAGCUUCAGAGACCUGCAGAGACUUCCAAAUGAUCUGCCUGCAGAGAUGAGCCACGCUUUCCAGGGCUUUCUCUCUGCUGAGAGCUGAGUACUUGAGGAGAGGGCCUGCCUAGGAGCCGACCUGACUACAGAGAGGAGCUGCCCACUGUGGGUCUCUUCUGUUCUAACACUAAAUAAAGCUCCUCUUUAUCUUCUUCA